Molecule: transfer RNA, 59 nt
Filed under: Bunostomum phlebotomum (cattle hookworm)
Lineage: Eukaryota; Metazoa; Nematoda; Chromadorea; Rhabditida; Ancylostomatidae
Description: tRNA-Ala
Source: RNAcentral
GGGACUUUAAUUUAAGUUUUAAAAUAUACAAUUUGCAUUUGUAAAAUUUUUGAGUUCUA